RNAcentral lists this unclassified non-coding RNA (300 nucleotides) under rhizosphere metagenome. RNAcentral's name for it is "partial ribosomal RNA internal transcribed spacer region". The record is from RNAcentral.
GUAGGUGAACCUGCGGAAGGAUCAUUAAAUAAAACAGGGUAUAAUUCUGGGCUUUUUCGGAGGCUCAUUAUUUUGUUCUAAAACUAUUACUGUGAACUGUAUUAUUAUUUGACAUUUGAGGGAUGUUUCAACGUUAUAGGGAUAGAUGUUGGAAAUGUUAACCGAUAGUCAUAAUCAGGUUUAGGCCUGGUAUCCUAUUUUUAUUUAUUUUAACCAAAAAGAAUUCAGAAUUUAAUAUUGUAACAUGGAUCGUAAAAAAAUCUAUAAAAACAACUUUUAACAACGGAUCUCUUGGUUCUC